This 308-nucleotide long non-coding RNA is filed under the name Pelobates cultripes (western spadefoot toad). Lineage: Eukaryota; Metazoa; Chordata; Amphibia; Anura; Pelobatidae. The record is from RNAcentral.
AUGCACUGCUGCCGGGGAUCUGGGCCGGUUACCCAGCAUCCCUGUGGGACCGGUGGAGAGACCUCAGUUCCAUCUCCACCUGCCAUCUGUGGGUCUUCCCAGGACCGUUCUAUAAGGUUGCUCACCUCUGGGGCUGGUUGGACAGAAGAGGGUAUGGUGUCCAGGUAAUCCCCUGGGCCGAGAGACGGUGGUUGGGCUAAGUUGAACAGGCGUUGGUAGUUCUGCUCCAGCGCCCACUCCAUUUUGACCAGAUGAAUCAGGUCUGGCCCCAGGUUGUCUGCUCGGGGAAGAUCCAGCAGGGUUUCCCU